GAGAUGUUGCACGGUUAAAAUAACUUGUUUGCCCUGAGGUCAGGUGCGCAAUACAACAUUCAGCUUCCUUUCAUCAAUCUUGGCCCAAGCCGACAAAAAACUGGCCGGGGUUUCACAGAGGACACGAGCUGGACUCGCUACAAGAAAAUUCCGAGUUAAAUAAAAGCUUUCUUUUUUAAAAAAAAAUCAUAACUUCAGCGAAGGCAGUGGUUUGGAGAAACUCGGAAGUAGUGCAAGGUUUCGAUUUAAAUGAACGAGCCAUUUAUUUAACUUUAUUUGUGCAGACCCUAGUGUUUAAAAAAGAAAACCUUAAAAAAAAUCCAAUUUGGGAAGUCUCAUCUGUUGGAGUCACUGACAAAUUUAACCAUAACAGUGCUUUCUGCCUGCCUGCUAUAAACUGGCAGGAUUGUAUGAUGCUGAACAACACAGGAGAUAGAAUCCCCAAACCGUAAAAUAGCUUGUCUUCAAGAGUUUAAAGUGUCUUUGCCUCCCUACUCGAAGGAAUCCCAACUUCACAAAAAAAGGCAACAAUGCAGCUAUCUCCAUUACCCGAACAAAGCCCGAUCGAAACUGUCGCUACACUUACAGAAAUAUCGAUAUUCUCGCGCCAUCAUAUCACUGGUAAUGUGGGCAUUUAAUUCCGACACAGAAGUGGUUUGUAUUGAGACUGCAAUUGGGCAAUAGUCGUUUCCAAGACAUGGUUUUGAUUUCGUUAUCAGUUUUGAAAAAUCCUCACGUCCAGUCCUGCGAGAGAGUUACAAAUCUUUCUGUAUCGCUGUAUAACUAGUUUCUUUUUUCUUUUAUUAAUGCUUUGUCCUGUCUUGCACUCGAACCAUCUGGGUGUCAGCGGCCUGACAUCUUCACUGCCUUACCAGGGAUCCUUCUUUGAACCUUAAAAGAGCCGCAAAUCUCUGUGCUUCAUGGAAGAACAGCUUGUGUGCACGCAAACACUGAAUGAGGAAAGAACAUCAAGAGAAAAUUCUGACAGAGGAAGAAUUCAAGCAUCAAGCUGUAGAAGGAAGAGAUGUAUGCUGGUUCAAAACUCCAGCAACCACUGAAAGCUAAACUAAAAUCCUGAUUCUGUGGAACCCUGACUCCACCCAUUCAUGCUGCUUUUAUUGUUCCAACUUUUUAAAAAAUGCAAGGCCUCACAAGCUGUUUACUUUAUUGGUUUGGAAGAGACCCUUGUCACCUCCAUCUCACCCUCUCUUCACAAUAAAUUUUAGGACAAAACACACCUCUUAAAGCCUUGGUAUUGUCACAACACAUACU
This is a long non-coding RNA of Rhincodon typus (whale shark), 1272 nucleotides long. RefSeq lists it as uncharacterized. The transcript has 3 exons. NCBI's taxonomy places the organism in Eukaryota, Metazoa, Chordata, Chondrichthyes, Orectolobiformes, Rhincodontidae. The record is from RefSeq and is a predicted model, not a curated record.